CGAAGGAUGCAAGCGUUAUCCGGAUUCAUUGGGUUUAAAGGGUGCGUAGGCGGACUGAUAAGUCAGUGGUGAAAUCUCUUUGCUUAACAAAGAAACUGCCAUUGAUACUGUCGGUCUAGAGUAUAGAUGACGUUGGCGGAAUAUGACAUGUAGUGGUGAAAUACUUAGAUAUGUCAUAGAACACCGAUUGCGAAGGCAGCUAACGAAACUAUAACUGACGCUGAGGCACGAAAGUGCGGGGGAUCAAACAGGAUUAGAUACCCUGGUAGUCCGCACCGUAAACGAUGAUUACUCGUUGUUGGCGAUAUGACAGUCAGCGACCAAGCGAAAGCGAUAAGUAAUCCACCUGGGGAGUACGCCGGCAACGGUG
This 370-nucleotide ribosomal RNA is filed under the name uncultured organism. RNAcentral's name for it is "bacterial SSU rRNA". It matches the Rfam family "Bacterial small subunit ribosomal RNA", at positions 526 to 896 of the family's 1533-position model. The record is from RNAcentral.